RNAcentral lists this ribosomal RNA (598 nucleotides) under uncultured soil bacterium. RNAcentral's name for it is "bacterial SSU rRNA". It matches the Rfam family "Bacterial small subunit ribosomal RNA", at positions 282 to 898 of the family's 1533-position model. The record is from RNAcentral.
GGUAGCUGGUCUGAGAGGACGACCAGCCACACUGGGACUGAGACACGGCCCAGACUCCUACGGGAGGCAGCAGUGGGGAAUCUUGCACAAUGGGGGAAACCCUGAUGCAGCGACGCCGCGUGAGCGAUGAAGCCCUUCGGGGCGUAAAGCUCUUUCGGCAGGGAAGACGAUGACGGUACCUGCAGAAGCAGCUGCGGCUAACUACGUGCCAGCAGCCGCGGUAAUACGUAGGCAGCGAGCGUUGUUCGGAGUUACUGGGCGUAAAGGGUGUGUAGGCGGUGGCUUAAGUUUGGUGUGAAAUCUCCCGGCUCAACUGGGAGGGUGCGCCGAAUACUGAGCGGCUUGAGUGCGGGAGAGGAGAGUGGAAUUCCUGGUGUAGCGGUGAAAUGCGUAGAUAUCAGGAGGAACACCGGUGGUGUAGACGGCUCUCUGGACCGCAACUGACGCUGAGACACGAAAGCGUGGGUAGCAAACAGGAUUAGAUACCCUGGUAGUCCACGCUGUAAACGAUGGAUGCUAGCCGUUGGGGAGCUUGCUCUUCAGUGGCGCAGCUAACGCUUUAAGCAUCCCGCCUGGGGAGUACGGUCGCAAGAUUAAA